RNAcentral lists this long non-coding RNA (299 nucleotides) under Elaeis guineensis (African oil palm). RNAcentral's name for it is "long non-coding RNA (EGUI_LNC002401)". The record is from RNAcentral. Lineage: Eukaryota; Viridiplantae; Streptophyta; Magnoliopsida; Arecales; Arecaceae.
UUAUUGCCAUAGAAAUGCUACUUUUCCAUUUCUUUCUUUUGGGAAUUUAACCAAAUAUGAGGCAUUUCUCUACUUGUUUAUUGACCAUACUUUCCCUUCAUUUUCGGCAAACAAAACGAGUCCUUGAUGGUCCAUAGCUCAAUCCGGAUGAAUAAACUUGAAACUUAAAGGCAAGGCACAACUCCUUUGCUAUAUUGUGAGUAGAAGAGUCAGAGGUUGUUGGUAAGAGAAAGAGCGGACCUAGGCUUAUUUCAUGUCACUAACAUUUAGGCCCAUUAGGCUCGACAUUAUUUAGGCCA